Molecule: ribosomal RNA, 253 nt
Filed under: uncultured bacterium
Lineage: Bacteria
Description: partial 16S ribosomal RNA
Rfam family: Bacterial small subunit ribosomal RNA
Source: RNAcentral
UACGUAGGGGGCAAGCGUUGUCCGGAAUCAUUGGGCGUAAAGCGCGUGUAGGCGGUCCGGUAAGUCCGCUGUGAAAGUCAAGGGCUCAACCCUUGAAUGCCGGUGGAUACUGCAGGGCUAGAGUCCGGAAGAGGCGAGUGGAAUUCCCGGUGUAGCGGUGAAAUGCGCAGAUAUCGGGAGGAACACCAAUGGCGAAGGCAGCUCGCUGGGACGGUACUGACGCUGAGACGCGAAAGCGUGGGGAGCAAACAGG